GACGAACGCUGGCGGCGUGCCUAAUACAUGCAAGUAGAACGCUGAAGCGAGGAGCUUGCUCUUCUUGGAUGAGUUGCGAACGGGUGAGUAACGCGUAGGUAACCUGCCUGGUAGCGGGGGAUAACUAUUGGAAACGAUAGCUAAUACCGCAUAAAAUUGAUUAUUGCAUGAUAAUUAAUUGAAAGAUGCAACUGCAUCACUACCAGAUGGACCUGCGUUGUAUUAGCUAGUUGGUGAGGUAACGGCUCACCAAGGCGACGAUACAUAGCCGACCUGAGAGGGUGAUCGGCCACACUGGGACUGAGACACGGCCCAGACUCCUACGGGAGGCAGCAGUAGGGAAAAUUCGGCGAUGGGGGGAACCCUGACCGAGCAACGCCGCGUGAGUGAAGAAGGUUUUCGGAUCGUAAAGCUCUGUUGUAAGAGAAGAACGGGUGUGAGAGUGGAAAGUUCACACUGUGACGGUAUCUUAACAGAAAGGGACGGCUAACUACGUG
Molecule: ribosomal RNA, 497 nt
Filed under: uncultured bacterium
Lineage: Bacteria
Description: partial 16S ribosomal RNA
Rfam family: Bacterial small subunit ribosomal RNA
Source: RNAcentral